AUUGAACGCUGGCGGCAUGCCUUACACAUGCAAGUCGAACGGCAGCACGGGUGCUUGCACCUGGUGGCGAGUGGCGAACGGGUGAGUAAUACAUCGGAACGUACCUUAUCGUGGGGGAUAACGCAGCGAAAGCUGUGCUAAUACCGCAUACGCCCUGAGGGGGAAAGCGGGGGAUCGAAAGACCUCGCGCGAUUAGAGCGGCCGAUGCCUGAUUAGCUUGUUGGUGGGGUAAAAGCCCACCAAGGCGACGAUCAGUAGCUGGUCUGAGAGGACGAUCAGCCACACUGGGACUGAGACACGGCCCAGACUCCUACGGGAGGCAGCAGUGGGGAAUUUUGGUCAAUGGGCGCAAGCCUGAACCAGCCAUGCCGCGUGCAGGAAUAAGGUCUUAUGGAUUGUAAACUGCUUUUAUACAGGAAGAAACCCUCCACGUGUGGGAUAUUGACGGUACUGUAUGAAUAAGGAUCGGCUAACUCCGUGCCAG
Molecule: ribosomal RNA, 484 nt
Filed under: uncultured bacterium
Lineage: Bacteria
Description: bacterial SSU rRNA
Rfam family: Bacterial small subunit ribosomal RNA
Source: RNAcentral